RNAcentral lists this ribosomal RNA (834 nucleotides) under uncultured bacterium. RNAcentral's name for it is "bacterial SSU rRNA". It matches the Rfam family "Bacterial small subunit ribosomal RNA", at positions 60 to 883 of the family's 1533-position model. The record is from RNAcentral.
AGUCGACGGUAACAGGGAGCAGCUUGCUGCUUCGCUGACAAGUGGCGCACGGGGGAGUAAUGUCUGGGAAACUGCCUGAUGGAGGGGGAUAACUACUGGAAACGGUAGCUAAUACCGCAUAACGUCGCAAGACCAAAGAGGGGGACCUUCGGGCCUCUUGCCAUCGGAUGUGCCCAGAUGGGAUUAGCUACUAGGUGGGGUAACGGCUCACCUAGGCGACGAUCCCUACCUGGUCUGACAGGAUGACCAACCACACUGGAACUGACACACGGUCCAGACUCCUACGGGAGGCAGCAGUGGGGAAUAUUGCACAAUGGGCGCAAGCCUGAUGCAGCCAUGCCGCGUGUGUGAAGAAGGCCUUCGGGUUGUAAAGCACUUUCACCUGGGAGGAAGGCGGUAAGGUUAAUAACCUUACCGAUUGACGUUACCCGCAGAACAAGCACCGGCUAACUCCGUGCCAGCAGCCGCGGUAAUACGGAGGGUGCAAGCGUUAAUCGGAAUUACUGGGCGUAAAGCGCACGCAGGCGGUCUGUCAAGUCGGAUGUGAAAUCCCCGGGCUCAACCUGGGAACUGCAUUCGAAACUGGCAGGCUAGAGUCUUGUAUAGGGGGGUAGAAUUCCAGGUGUAGCGGUGAAAUGCGUAGAGAUCUGGAGGAAUACCGGUGGCGAAUGCGGCCCCCUGGACAAAGACUGACGCUCAGGUGCUAAAGCGUGGGGAGCAAACAGGAUUAGAUACCCUGGUAGUCCACUCCGUAGACGAUGUCGACUUGGAGGUUGUGCCCAUGAGGCGUGUCUUCCCGGAGCUAACGCGUUAACUCGACCGCCUGGGGAGUAC